Molecule: long non-coding RNA, 208 nt
Filed under: Pan troglodytes (chimpanzee)
Lineage: Eukaryota; Metazoa; Chordata; Mammalia; Primates; Hominidae
Description: long non-coding RNA NONPTRT010619
Source: RNAcentral
AUUUAGGUUGCCAUUCAAGAAGAAAUCUGGAAUAUAUAUGUAAGAAUAAAGGUACAUAAAGAGAUAAAUCAAUCUGGAGAAAAAGAACAAAGUGGCUUUCUUUACUAGAUAUUAAGAUAGGCUACACGGCUGGGCACAAUGGCUCACGCCUGUAAUUCCAGCACUUUGGUACAAGCGGGGUAGGGGGUCACCCACUGAAAUACCCAUC